CCCUUAGAUGUUCUGGGCCGCACGCGUGCUACACUGACCGGUGCAACAAGUUUCUUUCCUUGGCUCGAUAGGCCUGGGUAAUCUUUGAACACCGGUCGUGAUGGGGAUAGAUCCUUGCAAUUUUUGAUCUUCAACGAGGAAUUCUUAGUAAAUGCGAGUCAUCAUCUCGCGUUGAUUACGUCCCUGCCCUUUGUACACACCGCCCGUCGCACCUACCGAUUGAAUGGUCCGGUGAAAUCUUCGGACUCUGUGUUUAUUGAUUCGUUUCAAUUUACUACUGGAGAAAGUUGAGUAAACCUUACCAUUUAGAGGAAGGUGAAGUCGUAACA
RNAcentral lists this ribosomal RNA (329 nucleotides) under uncultured eukaryote. RNAcentral's name for it is "partial 18S ribosomal RNA". It matches the Rfam family "Eukaryotic small subunit ribosomal RNA", at positions 1470 to 1796 of the family's 1831-position model. The record is from RNAcentral.